CUCGCCUCCGCCGCAUCCGACCCCACUUCCCCCGCUCCGAUCUCCUCCGCCGCCGCGCGCCGGCGCCGGCGCCGACCCCUCCCUCCCCCACCUCUCCCUUCCCGCCGAGGACCUUCCCCGGGCCAGUUGAUCCGCCGCCCGGGCGGUUCCCUCCUCCUUCCCUCCCUCCCUUCGCCGUCUGCCCCCGCGCUCCCGCAGGGGCGCCGCCGUGGCGGAUCCAUGGACCGGUCGAUCAACUUCCGCGGCAUCGCAGGGAGCGCCGGCAACAUCAUGCAGGGGAUGGGGAAAUUCGUUUUCGGCAAUGAGGGUCCAGAGUCCAAGGAAGAUAGCUACGUCGAGAGAUAUCUUGACCGGAUAAGCAAUGGCACCAUACCCGAUGACCGGAGGUCGGCCAUGACCGAGCUGCAGUCGCUGGUGGCGGAGAGCCGCGCCGCGCAGAUGUCAUUUGGAGCAAUGGGUUUUCCUAUCCUCCUCAAUGUUUUGAAAGAGGAUCGGGAGGACGUAGAGCUUGUGAGAGGUGCCUUGGAGACCUUUGUGAGUGCAUUGACUCCUAUUGAGACGUCACAAGGGCCCAAGACUGAGGUUCAACCUGCAUCGCUGAACUCAGAUCUGCUUUCCCGAGAAACAGAAAAUAUUUCCCUUCUUUUGAGCUUAUUGCCAGAGGAAGACUUCUAUGUGAGAUACUACACAAUCCAACUUUUAACAGCUUUACUUACAAACUCGCUGAAAAGAUUACAGGAGGCAAUUCUAUUGAUUCCUCGUGGUAUAACAGUUCUGAUGGACAUGCUUAUGGAUCGUGAGGUCAUAAGGAAUGAAGCACUGUUGCUUCUUACUUAUCUGACCCGUGAUGCAGAGGAAAUUCAAAAAAUUGUUGUAUUUGAGGGUGUGUUUGAGAAGAUAUUUAGCAUUAUAAGAGAGGAGGGCUCCUCUGAUGGAGGUGUAGUUGUUCAGGAUUGCCUUGAAUUGCUAAAUAAUUUAAUUCGACACAGUUCGUCCAAUCAGAUGCUUUUAAAAGAGACAAUGGGCUUUGACCCAUUGAUAGCAAUACUAAAGAUCAGGAGAGGCAGUGCAUUUAAUUUUACUCAACAAAAGACAGUAAAUCUUCUUGGUGCUUUAAAUACUGUUGAAUUACUUUUGACGGGGGGGCCCAUCCAGCGAAUCAGGUAAAGAUGCUAACAAGAACGCCAAUCAAGCUGCAUUGGCUCAGAAAAAUAUACUGGACCAUCUUCUGUUAUUGGGUGUUGAGAGUCAGUGGGCCCCUGUUGCUCUUCGCUGUAUGGCACUGCGAUGUAUUGGCAAUUUGGUGUUGAGAAAUCCUCAGAAUCUUGAUUCUCUUGCGAAAAAGCAAGUUGGAGAGGAGCCUCAUGUUCAGCCUGCACUGAAUGCCAUCUUGUCUAUAAUCUUGCGGACCUCUAUAGCACAGGAAUUUGUUGCUGCUGAUUUUGUAUUCAAGUGUUUCUGUGAGAAAAAUCCCAAUGGUCAAGCAUUAUUAGCAUCAACUAUUGCUCCACAUCCGAACCAAGGAGAUACACAUCGGGCUGCAAGUGACAUGCCUUUUGGAAGUAUACUUCUGCAAGCUCUGGUUUCAAGUGAUGUUAAUGAAGAUAUGGAGGCAUGUUGCAGAGCAUCUAGUGUUCUUUCUCACAUUAUAAAGGACAACUUGCAAAGCAAGGAUCGUGUACUGCAAAUCCAGCUUGGGACACCUGCACCAUCCUUGGGACGCACAGAGCCGCUACUGCACCGUAUUGUUACAUGUUUGUCCAUUGCAGCUUCAGCAGACGGAGAAAAUGACCAAAGCAGCCACCUAGAAGAAUCGUACAUUCAACCUGUUAUUCUUCGGCUACUCAUCGUAUGGCUUGUUGACUGUUCAAAUGCUGUCAACUGCCUUUUGGAAUCAGCAGUGCAUCUGAACUACAUAAUAGAGCUUGCUUCAAGCAAACGUUACACUGCUUGUGUUCGUGGACUGGCUGCUGUUGUUCUAGGUGCUUGCGUCCUGUACAAUGCUAGCCGUGAGAAGGGCCGUGACACCUUUGCUGUUGCAGAUGCUAUAAGUCAAAAGAUUGGCCUAACAACUUACUUUUUGAGGUUUGAUGAAUUGCGGAAAAGCUUGGCACAUCCAUCGUCAGAGCAGCGGCACCGCAAGGAGCUUUCCCGAUCAAGUGCAAAUAGCAUGUCAGAUUUCCAAGAGAUUGAGGAGGAUGCAACAAAUAAAGACGAUCAACACCCUGUCCUCUCAGAAAUAUUUGAUUCACAGUUUGUUGAUUUCCUCAAUAAGUUUGAGGCUGAUAUUAGAGAAAACAUAAUGGACAUAUUUAGUCGGACAAAAACUGCAACUGCAGUUCUACCUGCUGAGUUGGAGCAGAAGAAUGGGGAGGUCGAUGGAGAAUAUAUCAAGCGAUUAAAGUCAUUUGUGGAGAAACAGUGCAAUGAGAUGCAGGACUUACUGGCUCGAAACGCAAUGUUAGCAGAAGAGUUUGUGAAAACUGGUGGUGGCAGCACUGCAGAUACAUCCCAGAAACCUAGCAGUGGUCGAGAAAGGGUCCAGAUGGAAGCCCUCAGACAAGAACUCGAGGGAGCAAAACGGCAGAUAGAGUCGCUCAAAACUGAGAAGUCCCAGAUUGAAGCUGAAGCUAACCACCAAAGAAACCUUGCACUAAAAAUGGAGUCUGACCUCAAGAGCUUGUCAGACGCAUACAACAGCCUUGAGCAGGCUAACUACCGCUUGGAUGCCGAGGUGAAAACCUUGCGGCAGGGAGGCAGUGUGCCCUAUCCUGACGUGGAAGCGAUAAAAGCACAAGCCAAGGACGAGGCCGAGAAGGACAGCGGGGCAGAACUGAAUGAUCUUCUCGUCUGCCUUGGGCAGGAACAAAGUAAGGUCGAGAAGCUAAGUGCAAGGCUGGCAGAGCUUGGCGAAGACGUGGAUACCCUGUUGCAAGGUAUCGGUGAUGAUACAGCCAUACCAGAUGAUGACGAUGAAGAUGAAGAUGAGGAAUAGUAAUAUAUUCGAUUAUUAUGUGGUCUCCAUGUGUAAUUCGCCAUGUUGGGUCAAGAUGUUGUGAUGGCAAAUGUACAGUGGAUAAUGUUUGGACAAAGGUACCAUUUCAGUUUUAAGUUAUUUGUGGAGGAUGGGACUAAAUUGCUGACUCGCCUCAUUUUUAAUUUGGUUCUCCCAAUGAAUUUACAUUUACUCAAGUAACCAAACUAAUUUUAUAUUUAGGGUUACCUGUUGAGCACA
RNA transcript from Panicum virgatum (switchgrass), 3235 nucleotides. It is a transcript of the gene named golgin candidate 6-like, with no coding region annotated. The transcript has 18 exons. Lineage: Eukaryota; Viridiplantae; Streptophyta; Magnoliopsida; Poales; Poaceae. The record is from RefSeq and is a predicted model, not a curated record.